CAUGUACCAGUGGGGUCCUUUGGCCUGGCCUGCGCCCUCUCACUCCAGGACCCCUCAGGAAAUGUUGAAGAGCCGAUUUCACCUGAUCCUGCAGGCCAGGCUAAGGGACCCCACUGGUGCACA
RNAcentral lists this microRNA precursor (123 nucleotides) under Myotis davidii. Its description in RNAcentral is "mir-9193 microRNA precursor family". It matches the Rfam family "mir-9193 microRNA precursor family". Lineage: Eukaryota; Metazoa; Chordata; Mammalia; Chiroptera; Vespertilionidae. The record is from Rfam by way of RNAcentral.